CCUACGGGAGGCAGCAGUGGGGAAUUUUGGACAAUGGGCGCAAGCCUGAUCCAGCAAUGCCGCGUGCAGGAUGAAGGCCUUCGGGUUGUAAACUGCUUUUGUACGGAACGAAAAAGUCUGCCCUAAUACGGUGGGCCCAUGACGGUACCGUAAGAAUAAGCACCGGCUAACUACGUGCCAGCAGCCGCGGUAAUACGUAGGGUGCGAGCGUUAAUCGGAAUUACUGGGCGUAAAGCGUGCGCAGGCGGUUAUAUAAGACAGAUGUGAAAUCCCCGGGCUCAACCUGGGACCUGCAUUUGUGACUGUAUAGCUAGAGUACGGUAGAGGGGGAUGGAAUUCCGCGUGUAGCAGUGAAAUGCGUAGAUAUGCGGAGGAACACCGAUGGCGAAGGCAAUCCCCUGGACCUGUACUGACGCUCAUGCACGAAAGCGUGGGGAGCAAACAGGAUUAGAUACCCUGGUAGUCCACGCCCUAAACGAUGUCAACUGGUUGUUGGGUCUUCACUGACUCAGUAACGAAGCUAACGCGUGAAGUUGACCGCCUGGGGAGUACGGCCGCAAGGUUGAAACGUCGAAAAGUAGAGUAGAGCGUGAGACGAGCGAGGACGACGACGAGGGAGGAGG
Molecule: ribosomal RNA, 623 nt
Filed under: uncultured bacterium
Lineage: Bacteria
Description: bacterial SSU rRNA
Rfam family: Bacterial small subunit ribosomal RNA
Source: RNAcentral